RNAcentral lists this ribosomal RNA (253 nucleotides) under uncultured bacterium. RNAcentral's name for it is "partial 16S ribosomal RNA". It matches the Rfam family "Bacterial small subunit ribosomal RNA", at positions 524 to 776 of the family's 1533-position model. The record is from RNAcentral.
UACGAAGGGGGCUAGCGUUGCUCGGAAUCACUGGGCGUAAAGCGCACGUAGGCGGAUUGCUAAGUCAGGGGUGAAAUCCUGGAGCUCAACUCCAGAACUGCCUUUGAUACUGGCGACCUUGAGUCCGGGAGAGGUGAGUGGAACUGCGAGUGUAGAGGUGAAAUUCGUAGAUAUUCGCAAGAACACCAGUGGCGAAGGCGGCUCACUGGUCCGGUACUGACGCUGAUGUGCGAAAGCGUGGGGAGCAAACAGG